CUUUGCGCCACCGGAAGCCUCGUUCCCUCAGAUUUCCCCCUCCCUCCCGGACCGACUUCCGGGUGUGGCUGCCGCCCUUCCCCCACCCACGCCGGUUGGAGCCUCCCGUUCGCGCUGCCAGCAGCUUCCGCCUGCUGCGGUCCUGGCAAGCACCUCGGGAUCUCAUUCCUUCACAGGGGCCCUAGCCGGGCAAGCGCGCGCCUCACUGUACCGGAGAGCUCCAAGCACGCGCUUGGUCUGGGGUCCGGACGCUAGAUCUCGGAAGGGGUGGGUGGCUGGGCAGAUGAGCGAGGAAGGAUCGUCUCUACCCUCUCUCAAGUAGCUGAGGCCUCCGAACCCUUCCCUAGCUGGAUUUGGGGACAGAGGAGCGCUGGUAUUGAUAAAAUAACUCUCUUUGCUAUUCCUUUAGGAGCCCAAAUGAGGAUUGAAAGUGAGAAGAAUGGGGACCUGGGCUUGGGAGUGGGAGGUGGGGAAAGCAGAACCCCGUGUGCCUGUUUCUGCGUCGUCUGGAGAAAAAGCUUUUGAAGAUGUCUGAUAGACCCUAUUCGGUUCAAAGCUCUCUAAAGUCCUCCACCUUUUUUUUUUUUUUUUAAACUUCAUGGAAAAUGAAACAUUUCAGAGAAGUUACUUGCCUAGAGGCAACUAAGUCGCCUAAUGGCUAAGUAGGAAAGUAGAAGUCAGUUCCAACGUAGUGGAAAUGGAGUGGAAAUGCAUGGCAUACAAUGAGCUAUAUUAGAAGGUUCCCAUUUAGACAGUUUUCAUGGUGUAUUCCAUGUUGGCUUCUACAGGGGAAAAAAUGUGUUAGAGCAUCUUAAGCAACUGUUUUUGCUUCUUUCCAUAGUGACUAGUAAUAUCAACAGGUGUCAAGGUCUAAACAGAAAUUGCAUUAAAAAAAAAAGUGUGUCAGCCGGGCGCUAUGGCUCAUCAUACCUGUAAACCCAACACUUUGGGAGGCUGAGGCAGGGGGAUUACAUGAGCCCAGGAGUUCAAGACCCGCCUGGGCAACAUAGUGAGACCCGUCCCUACAAAAAAAAAAAAAUAUAUAUAUAUAUAUAUUCCAACAUCCCACUGUUUAUAGUAUAGCCUCUUCUUCUAUAUGACAGUAUGAAACACUUACGGGUUUUUUUUUUCACCAGGCUUGGUGGCAGGCACCCGUAGUCCCGGCUACUCUGGAGGGUGAGGCGGGAGGAUCAAUUGAGCCGGGGGUCAAGGCUGCAGUGAGCUGCGAUUGUGCCACUGCACUUCCAGCCUGGGUGACAGGGCAAGAUUCUUUGUCUCAAAAAAGAUAAAAAAAAAAAAAAAAAGACAAAAAACUGAGUCUGUCAUACUGUCAUGUGGAAGAAGAGGCUAUACUAUAAAUAGUGGGAUGUUGGAAUUUCUAAAAACUAAACAAGACACCGUUGAAAUCCAUUUUGUCACUUUGGUUCAUCAGUUUCAUUACCCUUGAUACAUAUGAUGGCAACUGGCUUAUUGACAAUGUUUUCUUAAAACGUUCUGUCUGAGCCCUAUAUGCUGCUCUCAAGAAGACAUUAGAGUUUAUUAUGCUAUUUUUUCAUUUAGCAUUUUCUCCAGGACAACUUACUGGUUCUUUAAUUUCUGAAGUGUAGACAUUUGUUUUUCAGUGCUACUAAAUUUAGUCAAAACAAAAUUUCUUUAAUUAAAAACAGUAUUUUAAUUAAAUUUUUUUCAGACUGGGCAUGGUGGCUCAUGCUUGUAAUACCAGCACUUUUGAGAGGCCAAGGUGGGCGGAUCACUUAAGCUCAGGAGUUCGAGACCAGCCUGGCCAACAUGGCGAACCCUCACCUCAUCUAAAAAUACAAAAAUUAGCUGGGUGUGGUGGUGGGCACCUGUAAUCCCAGUUACUUGGGAGGCUGAGGCAGGAGAAUCGCUUGAACCCUGGAGGCAAAGGUUGUAGUGAGCCAAGAUUGUACCACUACACUCCAGCCUGGGAGACAGAGCAAGACUCUAUCUCAAAAAAAAAAAAAAAAAACAAACUUUAUGAAGUGGUGGGUUGUUUUUUUUUUUUUUUGUCAGUUUACUGUUGAUUUAAAGAUUUAUUAUGGUGCCUAAAUUUAUCUUGACCUUGACAAGUUUAUCAAUCUGAAAAAGCUGGCUGGCAAAAAAUGUCCCGAAUUGUCACAGUGUCACUGACCCAUAUCUUGUCUCUCCUGAAAAAACUAUAAUAACUUUGCUUUUUCAUGUAACAUUUAUGUUCUUUAUAGACUUAUGCUAAAUAGAUGAGUAGAGCACACAUUAUUUCAGUAAUAGUUUAUUGCUACAGGCUUCUGUGGUAGCAUAAACAGAAUUGAAUGUGUAGUAAAGAGUUGUAGGUUCCAGUCCCAGCUUUUUUUUUACUUAGACAAGUCACUCUCCAAGCCUCAUUUUCUUCAGUUCAGAUAUAGAAAUAUUAUGUAACACACAGGAUUCAAAAUCAAAUGAGAGUUGUGUGAAAGUACUUUUUAUAGUAUGAAGUGUUAUAUAAUGUUAGUGUCUAUUAUCAUCUUUAUCAGGCUUGGUCAGUCUUCAACUAGUAAUGAACCGUGUAACUAGUUUAUUACAUAUGUGGCUGAGAGAAAUUUAAUUGGAUAUAAAUACCAGUGUGAUAUGUCAUAAAAUAUGCUAAUCUGUAGCCCAUAUUUAAAUAGUUAUUUAUAGUACACUAUAUGUAUCUGUAUUAUAAAUAGGCUUUUAAGGACAAAGAGAACAUCUCCUUAUUAAGCUUUAAGAGUUUCAGAGAGAAAGCAUAUAUAUGAAACAUUUUUUUUUUCAUGUUGUCUAGGUGUGGUGGUGCACACCUGUGAUCCUAGCUACUUGGGAGGCUGAGGUGGGGGGAUCACUUGAGCCCAGGAGGUUGAGGCUGCAGUGAGCCAUGAUCACGCUACUACACUCCAGCCUAGGUGACAGAGUGAGACCCUGUCUCAAGAAAAGGAAAAAAAAAAGUUUAGCCUCAGGGUAGGGUUAGGGGAGUGUCACUGUCAAAAACAGUGGAGUUGAAAGAGAGCUGUUUAGAGAAGAUGUGCUUGCUUUUGCACAUGUUUGGGCAGGCAUUUAUAGAAGUGGUGUCCUAUAGAAAGCAGAAAGAGAAGACAGCAUCUGAUUUCUACAUUCAUUCAAUAACUGUCUAGUGUCCUGACUAUGAUGUGGGAGAAAUAAAGAUGAAUAUAACUCCUACCUUGUUCUUGAAGACCCUAUAAUCUGGUGGGAGAAGCAGAAUAUAAACCAGAUUGAAAUAAAUACUGUGAUAAAAUAUACAGGCUAAGAAUGCAUGGGAAGAAGUGAUUAACACACUAGUUGUGAAGUACAAAGGGUUUUAUGGAGGACUGGAUAUUUUAACUGCACCUUGAAGAUUGAGUACAAUUUUGAUAGAGAAGGAAAGAGCAUGUAGCUGAAGAAAAAACACAAAAGUACAUUGUAUGGCUUGGAGAAAUAAAGUAGUCUAGAGUGGCUCUAUUAGUAAGGUUUGUAAAGAGGUGUAGUGGUAUAUGAUGCAGGAAAAGUAGGUUAGGGCAAAAAGAAAACAGAUCAGUGCCUGAUAUGAAUUAUACACUGGGCCGAAAGUUUUCAUAUUUGCUAUUUCAUUUAAUUUCCAUAUAGCCAUGCAAAAUAGGUGUUUUGACAUGGGGGGAAAACAGUCUCAGAGAGUUUUACUAAUUUGUUCAAAGUCUCACAGAUAAUAAGUAAUGGAGCUCAAAUUUCAAACCAGGUUGUUAUUUAACUCCAAAGCUGAAGCUAUUUGUAAUUUGGUAACUAUCUCUAAAUUAAAAAAAAAAAGGAAAAAAGGUUAUAUUCAUUAUAGGACUUUAAAAAUAUAAAGCACUUUCACAUGUAUUUGGUCUUUAUAACUAGUCAUUAAUCCCAAUUGAUGGAUGGGAAAAUUGAAGCCCAGUGAGAUUAUUCAAGGUCACAGAGUGAAUAAGUGGCAGAUUGGAAAUGCAACCCAAGCUUUCUGACUACAAAGUCUCAAUUCUUUCCACAUCCUUUUAAGAAGUCUGGAGAUCCUUUUGUAAGCAGUGGAAAGAGUUAGUGAACAUUUUUGAGAAGGGGGAUGACAUAAACAAUAAUGUUUAAAAAGAUUAGUUUGAGUUCGCAUAUGAGAUGGUCUGGAAUGGACAGAGACAAGAACAUUAAUUAUUAAGCUAUUGUAAGAAUAGUAAUGAUGUAGACCUGAACAAAGAAAGUUUGGUGAUAAUAAGAUAAAAGAAACAAAUUAGAGGCAUUUGGAAACAGAAUUUACAGGAUUUAGCUUCUGCCUGCAUCUACCGUGAGAUAGGAGGACCAUGCCUAAAUAAUAAUGGAGGUGGGAACAAUGAUAGCUAAGAAGAGGUAGAUUUGGAUGGAGAGAAAGAAAUAGCCAUCCAAAUGGAUGUAUCCCGUGAGAGUUGGACAGCGGAGAUGUGGGAUCAUAUAGUAGGGCUAUGUAACAAGUCCCUCUAUAGCAGGGUUUGUUUAAGCUAGACUGUAAGUACCCAGAGCCAGUGAGGGUCUGGUUUAUUUCUGCAUCCCCAGAGCCAGGACAGUCCUUGGCACUCAGUAAAUAUUUGUUAACUUUGAAACUGGAUGAAGACCUUUAAGGAUGGUAGAAUUUUUUGAAAAAUGUUCAAAGACAGAAAGCAAAAAGAAGAAAAUAUUUGAGGAAAGAUUUGAUAGAAACCAAGAAGCAUUAUGUAAAGGAAGUCGUGGGGAGAGAGUUGCAAGAGUGUGAGAUGCCACAGAGAGGCAUUGUUGGAAGGGGAUCAAAGAUAGUGUUACUGAAGUAAAAUUCAGGAAGACAGAUCGGAAGUCAACAUGCAACGAACUGAAGAGGAAUGAGGGGGAGAACUAGAGCCAGGCAGCAGAGAGUACUCUUUCAAAAAGUUCGGUGGUAAAGGAAAAGGGAGCAAUGAGAAAACACCUUAAGGAAGAAGCAGGGUCAAGGAGGAAUUGCAAAGGCACGUGUAGCUCAAGGGAAAGGAGCCAGAGAAGAGAAGUAGAUUGAAAAUGAAAGCAAAAUGAAGCUCAAGGAAAUGGAGGAGGAUGAGAUUGAAAAGACACAGAUGGAGUGAUCAGGAUUAGGUAUAUAGAUCUGAGUAUGUUUCACAGAAAGGACAAGUUGAAGCCAAAUUAUAGUUAAAGCUGAUACAUUCCUGUGGGUCAGCUAUGCAACUAACUCAGAUUUUGAGCAAACAAAGCUCUCAAGUUGGUGAUCCUCAGGAGUCUCUGCAUUAGUUGGACAGCUCUUCUGGAAUUAUCUUCUAAGUCAACUGUGGGUUGGGUAGGUGGCUCUGCUGAUUUUUCGCUGGACUUCCACAUUUGGGACCAGUUGGCUGUCAUCAGCUCUAGAAAGGGUGUGGCUGUUUUACAUUGGCUGUUUUCCUCACAUUCCUCAAGCAGGUACUGUAAUAAAGAACUGGAGAAAUAAAGUCAGAUGGGAAGUAGCCCCUGCUGUCAAGGAGCUUGCCAUCUAAUGGGGGAGACAGGCAAGUAAACCAAAGACUACACAGUGCAGUAUGGUAAGUGCCAUGAUUUUGAUAUGACAGGGCACAGUGGAAGACCUUCCAAAUCAAAGCAAGUAAGUAGGGGUUGACAAUGGUAAGUAUCAUAGUUGAAGUAUCCUUGAACAAGGUUUCAGGAAGAAGAAUAAGGGAAUUUCAUGCAGGGAAACAGCCAAAGCUCAGUGAGUCAAAAUAUCACAGCAUUCUUGGUAAGCCCAAUUUUUUUUUCUGUUUUGCUAUUUUGGUGGAGAGAAAGGAACACAUAAAGGAAUAACAUGAGAGAAAGCUAUUUGGGGAAGUGUAGUAGUUAAGGUUCUGGUUGCAAACAACAACUCCAGCUAGUUAAGUUGACUUUAGUGGAAGGAUACUGGGGUAUCUCAUGGAAUCUUGGGAACUGUUGAAUAACCAGGGAAACUCUGGGAAACUCACUGGUAGGAAUCCAUAAACUGUCCUCCUGGUGGGCUGUAAACAACUCACCCUCUAUGUAUCUCACAUCAAAAUUCCAGUUUCUUGGGAAAACAAGUCUGUUUGCCCAAUUUGGGUCAUAUUUCCACCUCCAUGUUACUCAGGCAUGAUUCAUCUGCAAGUUAUGUGUAUAGAUAUUUUGCUACUGUUCCACCCUUGUGCUGUGCUGGGGAGGGAGGUGUCACUGUGAGCUGUGUGGCUGCCUUAAGAGAUAUCUGUUGUAGCUUAUUACUUGGUUGCCUUUCCCCACAUGUACAAUGACAAAAAUGCCUUCAACCUAUUUGAUCCAGCCGUUCCAGUACAACUCCUAUACUUGCCAUCUUUCCAAGCCCAAAGGUACAUCCAGCUGAUGGAAGGAGCAUCUUGGUGUUAAUAUUCUUUUAGUCAUGGUCUCUGAAAGUAAAAUGUCUGUUCUUCUAAUUCUGGCACAAUCUUAUCUAGCUAUAGUUCCUCAUGGUCCUGCACUCCAUGGACUAAAUUGUAAGUAUAAUUACUACCAAUGUACUCUAUAAAUAACUUUUGGGGCCAGGGUGGCAAUAGUUGCUACAGAAAAAAAAAAAAAAAAAAAGGAAGGAGAAGAAAACAGUGAUAGUUCUUAUUUUAAAAGGAAAAAAAGAGGCAGGAGGCUCUCUUGAGGCCAGGAGUUUAAGACCAGCUUAGGCAGCAUUUCUAGACCCUGUCUCUACUAAAAAGUAAAAAAAAAAUUUAGUCAGGCAUGGUGGCAUGCACUUGUAGUUGUAGCUACUCAGGAGACUGAGGUGGGAGGAUUGAUUGAGCCCAGGAGUUCGAGGCUGCAGUGAGCAAUCAUCAUGCCAUUGCGCUCCAGCCUGGGUAUCAGAGCAAGACCUUGUCUUUUAGGAAAAAAAGGCAGGGAGGAGGAAUAGGUAAUUUUUCAGUGUUCAGACAUUCCAGCAAUAUAUGUGGACUACUCAUUCUCACUACAGUUUAUGAGUCCGUAGCUAGUAUGUAUAACUACCCAUCCAAGUUUCCCUGCUUACAGUUAAUAUUCCAACUGAUUGGGGGGCUUUGCCUAAUAGAGUGAUUUAAGCCUUCAUUUUUAGACAUCUAAGCCCUUGGUGAUCAUCAGCAUAAAAUGUGACAAAUUAAACAAAAGCAAGACAGCAGAUCAGAGAACAACUCUGAGGUGGAAUGAUUGAGAACCAAUGAAUAGUUGUUCAGUAAAUGGUUUAUAUUUUACAGAUGAUGAAACUGAAACACAAAAAAUUUAGAUUAGCUCUUAGGUGACAAAGCCAGGAUUGAAGCUCAUGCGGUCUGGCUCCAGAACAACUCUUCUUCAUAGUUACAUUAUACUGCCCCUGCAUUGUUGGUAUUGAAAGUAAGUGUAGGCCCUGGGCCUUCUAUACCUAGGAUUAAGUCACAUAUUCCUAUUCCUCUUCGACUUUUACUAGCCUUGUGGGCAAGAAAAAGCUACUGAAUUUUUCUAAGCUCAGUCUUUUUCAUUUAUAAAAUAGAGAUAUCCUUUGUGGGCCGGUCGCCGUGGCUCACGCCUGUAAUCCCAGCACUUUGGGAGGCCGAGGUGGGUGGAUCAGGAGGUCAAGAGAUCGAGAUCAUCCUGACUAACACGGUGAAACGCCGUCUCUACUAAAAAUACAAAAAAUUAGCCGGGUGUGGUGGUGGACGCCUAUAGUCCCAGCUACUCGGGAGGCUGAGGCAGGAGAAUGGCGUGAACCUGGGAGGCGGAGCUUGCAGUGAGUCGAGAUCGAGCCACUGCACUCCAGCCUGGGCGACAGAGUGAGACUCCGUCUCCAAAAAAAAAUUAAAAAAAGAAAAAUAGAGAUACCCUUUGUGGAGGCAUGAUGCUUAUCAUGUGAUAAGCAGAUUUCUAAAAAUGGUGGUGGCUUUAAGCCUAGCACAUAAAGUUGGGAUUUUACAAGAAAAGUGGAGAGAAUUGAUCAAGAGAUUUUUGUGACAGAACAGGAAGUUAGAAGAAGGCGAAAUGAGAAAUGAUCUGUGAGAGACUUGAGGAGAUGAAGAGGUAGAUAUUCUCAAUACACUGUAGAAAGCAUGAUUAAGGGGAAGGAAGUGAGAAACGUUUUUUAAAAAUCAUCCUCAAGAGCUAAUUUGGAGAACAGUCACACUUUGUAAUAUGAGCCAAGAGAUAAAAUCAAAUUUGUCUCUCGGGAGGGGAAAAUAAGCCUCUUUUCAAGCUAAAUUCCCCUGCCACCUGGUUUGUUUUCUUCACUGUAAAUGAGCGCUGGGAAAAGAACAGGCUUUAGAGAUUCUGCCCAAGCAAUUCGCAGACCAUUUUCUUGGUAAUCACAUUGUAGCUCUUUUUUCAGUCAGGCUCACACAGGAUUUAAUGCUGUUUUUUGACAGCAAGUAUUAUUUUUGACGUCUAUCAAAUGCACCAAAAUAUGCCUGAAAUGUCUUAUUCGAACGUAUAUAUGGGAAGAAAAGUGAGUUACAUAUAUCUUUGAAAUGACCUAAUAUAAAAUUCUGCAGAUUUACCUUUAUGAGCUUGGUUAUGUAACUUGACCUAAGUCGUUGUUUUGGUUAAAACCCAUUUAUUCCUAAUGUUCCAUUAUUGGAAUGCUAAGCUUGUGGGAGUUAUUUAUAGCCUAUGCUCAAGGUCAUCGUCUGAUUUUUCACACAAAAAAAUUUGCAACCUCCGGCAUAAAUGGGUUAAGUCCAACAUUUACUACAAUGAGCUGGUACAUUGAUUAAGUGACCAAUUAUAGUAUUUUCAGGAACAUAUGAAGGCAAGUGGCAUGUGGUUAAAUUACAGGCAAAGUGAUUGAGAAAAUCACUGUUCCCAAAUAAAUACCAGUUUACCAUGACGGCAUUCACCAUCAAACCUGUCAUCUUUAUUAAAACUAAAAUUAGGGUUACUGUUUAUAUUUAGAACAGAAAUACGUAUCUUUGUGAUUUUCAUGUAUUUGGGAGAAAGGAACAACUUAAGCACAACUUAAACCUACACAGAUGCUUUUCUAUGUAUUGGGAGCUUUAAAGGAUAACAAAAUCGAUUUCUAUUUCUUUGGUAUAAUUAUAUUGAUUAUAUUGGAAAAACAUGAACCAAUACAUUUGGCUUUAAGAUCUACCAGCUGGUCACAUACAGGUACCCAUGUAUACAAAAUGUGUUUGAUCUUUUUUUUUUUUUUUUUUGAGAUGGAGUCUUGCUCUGUCACCCAGGCUGAAGUGCAAUGGUGCAAUCUCAGCUCACUGCAACCUGUGCCUCCCGGGUUCAGGCAAUUCUCCUGCCUCAGUCUCCUGAGUAGCUGGGAUUACAGGUGCGCACCACCACGCCCGGCUAAUUUUUGUAUUUUUAGUAGAGAUGGGUUUCACCAUGUUGGUAAGGCUGGUCUCGAACUCCUGACCUCGUGAUCUGCCCGUCUUGGCCUCCCAAAAUGCUGGGAUUACAGGUGUGAGCCACUGCGCCCGGCCUUGAUCAUUUUAAAUUCACAAAUAAUACUUAGCCCCUGAGUAAUUAUAAUAAAUAUAUAAUUAAUGCAUAUAUCACCCAUAGUUAAUUAGGAAUAUUUUAUUGGCUUAAUGAACAAAAUAUGAUCAUAAAAUAUAAGCCAUCAUAGCCCAGAUGUAUAGCAAUAAAAAAGCUUAGAUUAUCAUAUCUCACAAUACAAGUCUGCAUUAGCAAUGACACUGUUAUAAAAUAUUUAUAACACUUUCUGAUUUAAUUUUAAAGAGAGAUUCAUUCAGUACCUUUUUGGCGUUUGAAAUGAAACCUUAUUUUCCCUCCACACAAUAGCUGAUUAAAAACAGCUUUUGAAGAGGUCCCAGGCAACACACACAGAGCGAAAUGGUUAGAUACGUGGGGCAUCUUUGUAUUUUCACAUUAAAAUUCAAUGUUAUUCAGACCCAAGUAGAUAAUAAAAGUGGCAUUCAAGUUGGGAAUGGUAGCACAAGCCUGUAGUCUCAGCUACUCAGGAGGCUGAAAUGGGAGGAUCACUUGAGCUCAGGAGUUUGAGGUUUUAGUGCACUGUGAUUGCACUUGUGAAUAGCCACUGCACUUCAGCUUGAGUAACAUAGCAAGACCCCAUCUCUUUUUUUAAAAUGUUACAUUUAUAAUCAGUGAGGAAAAUAUAAAGUAUACAAUAAAUGAAGGGGUCAUUGGCCAAUUGUUUGGAGGGAAAAAAUACACCAUGUUCUAAAAUAAAUUUCUAGUGAUUUAUUGUGACUUUCAUGCAUUUGGAUGAUUUUAAAGAUUUUAUAUAAAAAUGAAACCAUAGCCUUACUAGAAGAAAAUAUAAAGAAAAACUUGUAUAGUCUUGGGAGGGGGGAUUAUAUUACGUGAAACAUUAAGUAAAAUAUUUAUUUUUUAAAUAUUAAAAAACUAAAAACUGUGCUUUAGAAGUCACCAAAAAAUUAAAGGGCAGGCUGGGCAUGGUGGAUCACACCUGUAAUCCCAGCUUUGGGAGGCUGAAAUGGGAGAAUCACUUGAGGCGGGGAAGUUCCAGACCAGCCUGUGCAAUAUAACAAGAUCCCCAUCGCUCCAAAAAAAAAAAAAGCCAGGCAUAAUGGCAUGUGCCUAUAGUCCUAGCCACUCAGGAGGCUGAGGUGGGAUGAUUGCUUGAGCCCAGGAGUUUGAGGCUGCAGUAAGCUAUGAUUGCACUAUUGCACUCUAGCCUGGGUAACAGAGUGAGAAUGAGACCCUGUCUCAGAAAAAAGAAAAAAAGAAAAAGAAAAAGGGCAAGUGCCAAAUGGAAAGAGAAAAAAAAAAGGACUAACAAUUAGGAA
Long non-coding RNA from Pongo pygmaeus (Bornean orangutan), 10649 nucleotides. RefSeq lists it as uncharacterized. NCBI's taxonomy places the organism in Eukaryota, Metazoa, Chordata, Mammalia, Primates, Hominidae. The record is from RefSeq and is a predicted model, not a curated record. The transcript has 5 exons.